This 238-nucleotide ribosomal RNA is filed under the name uncultured bacterium. Its description in RNAcentral is "partial 16S ribosomal RNA". It matches the Rfam family "Bacterial small subunit ribosomal RNA", at positions 539 to 776 of the family's 1533-position model. The record is from RNAcentral.
CGUUGUUCGGAAUUACUGGGCGUAAAGCGCACGUAGGCGGUUUUGGAAGUUAUAGGUGAAAGCCCGGAGCUCAACUCCGGAACUGCCUUUAAGACUGCAUCGCUUGAAUCCAGGAGAGGUGAGUGGAAUUCCGAGUGUAGAGGUGAAAUUCGUAGAUAUUCGGAAGAACACCAGUGGCGAAGGCGGCUCACUGGACUGGUAUUGACGCUGAGGUGCGAAAGCGUGGGGAGCAAACAGG